RNAcentral lists this transfer RNA (63 nucleotides) under Eurylepta cornuta. Its description in RNAcentral is "tRNA-Lys". The record is from RNAcentral. Lineage: Eukaryota; Metazoa; Platyhelminthes; Polycladida; Euryleptidae.
GGCUUGGAAGCUUUGUAGAAGCUGUAGAUUCUUGAUCUAAAGAAGGGGGUUCCUCCCAAGCCA